CCUCCAAGGUGGCCUGGCGGGCGCAGUGGGAGCACGUUUGUACUCCUCGGGAGCGAACACAUGGGAUUCCCUCCUCGUUCAGAUGUCACUGACUCAUGAGGAGCCCUGAGGAAGGGGCCCGGCCUUCUAAAGUGGCACCUUGCCUGCUCCAUUAUGUGCCUCACAGUCCCCGCCUUGCAGAUGUUGGAUUCCACACCGCAGAGGCCCAAUGGAUGGAGAGGCCGGUUUCCAUGGAGACGGUCGCAGCGUUGCUGGUAUUCCCUACAGAAGGGGAGAGACUGCCCCGGUGCUCAGCAUGUGCGCGCACACACACGCACUCUCUCUCCUCGCUGCACGAACUGGCUGUACAUAGCAAGACAUGGCUGCUUUACAGACCUGCCUUGUCCACGGCAGAGCGGAUGGGGUCCGAUGAUAUCCCCAGAGCGCCCACCUUCCAUGAUCUCCCCGGAGGAUGCUCCAAAACCCCAUUCUGGAGACUCAACCCCAUUACCUGCCACCGGUGGCUCAUGGGACUGGCAAAGGCAAAAUCUGGCAGUCCCAUCACAUGGUGUCCCCAACAGCCCCUCCCCAGCUGUCACAUCCAUUUGCUCUUGACAGAGUGAGCGUUAAGUCUCUUGGCUCAUUUCCUGUCUCGCCUUUCCAGAAUCACCUUUCAGCCUUCCCCAAGUGAGCGCUGCUGUAUUAGCCACAGAAUUGCAAUGAAUUCAUUGCUUCCUGACAGAUCUGAGGCUAGAAGAGGCUCUGUUAAGCCAGAAGAGGCUCUGUUAAGCCCCCAAAGAUCAUUUCAGUUCUAGAGCUGCGUACUUAUCAGUGUCAAAGCACAUUCCACUGCCUCACCCCCAAAAAAAGAUUAAUUAGGACAAACUGUUGCAAAUGUGUAAGAACUAGACAAACUUCCCAGUACAAAAAUUGUUGAAAGAUACAAACAGGUUAUGCACAAAAGAAGAAACACAAGUGGUCCUUGAUCAACAGACCUGUGGAAAGAAGGUCAAUAUCAAAGGUAGUAAAAGAAAUGCAAAUGAAAUCAC
This is a long non-coding RNA of Suricata suricatta (meerkat), 1028 nucleotides long. RefSeq lists it as uncharacterized. The transcript is spliced from 3 exons. Lineage: Eukaryota; Metazoa; Chordata; Mammalia; Carnivora; Herpestidae. The record is from RefSeq and is a predicted model, not a curated record.